AACGCGAAGAACCUUACCUGGGUUUGACAUGGAUCGGGAGUGCUCAGAGAUGGGUGUGCCUCUUUUGGGGUCGGUUCACAGGUGGUGCAUGGCUGUCGUCAGCUCGUGUCGUGAGAUGUUGGGUUAAGUCCCGCAACGAGCGCAACCCUUGUUCACUGUUGCCAGCACGUUAUGGUGGGGACUCAGUGGAGACCGCCGGGGUCAACUCGGAGGAAGGUGGGGAUGACGUCAAGUCAUCAUGCCCCUUAUGUCCAGGGCUUCACGCAUGCUACAAUGGCUGGUACAGAGAGUGGCGAGCCUGUGGGGGUGAGCGAAUCUCGGAAAGCCGGUCUCAGUUCGGAUUGGGGUCUGCAACUCGACCUCAUGAAGUCGGAGUCGCUAGUAAUCGCAGAUCAGCACG
RNAcentral lists this ribosomal RNA (400 nucleotides) under uncultured Propionibacterium sp. RNAcentral describes it as "bacterial SSU rRNA". It matches the Rfam family "Bacterial small subunit ribosomal RNA", at positions 958 to 1356 of the family's 1533-position model. Lineage: Bacteria; Bacillati; Actinomycetota; Actinomycetes; Propionibacteriales; Propionibacteriaceae. The record is from RNAcentral.